UUUUCUCUGCUGGUCGUUUUUACCAUCCAGCAUAGUCUUUUGACCCUUUGUCUUUGUCUCAUGUCUCAUUAAGCUGUCGCUUUUUUAAUUUCUCCAAGCCGAGGGUACCAAACUGUGAGAACUCUUAGGUUCUUUUAUGCUACUAACCCGUAGGUUCAUUCCCAGCCAACAAUGCAUGCACUACCAAGCCAAUCAUCAAGGAUCGCUCUUCUUAUAACUCUCAGCCAUAGUCUUUGCACCCUUUGUCUUUGUCUCAUGUCUCAUUAAGCUGUCGCUUUUUUUACUUUCUGCAAGCCGAGGGUACCAAACCAGCCAACAAUGCAUGCACUACCAAGCCAAUCAUCAAUGAUCUCUCUUCUUUUAACUCCCAGCCAUAGUCUUUUGACCCUUUGUCUUUGUCUCAUGUCUCAUUAAGCUGUCGCUUUGUUUAAUUUCUCCAAGCCGAAGGUACCAAACAGUGAGAACUCUUAGGUUCUUUUAUGCUACUAACCCGUAGGUUCAUUCCCAGCCAACAAUGCAUGCACUACCAAGCCAAUCAUCAAGGAUCGCUCUUCUUUUAACUCUCAGCCAUAGUCUUUGCACCCUUUGUCUUUGUCUCAUGUCUCAUUAAGCUGUCGCUUUUUUUACUUUCUGCAAGCCGAGGGUACCAAACCAGCCAACAAUGCAUGCACUACCAAGCCAAUCAUCAAUGAUCUCUCUUCUUUUAACUCCCAGCCAUAGUCUUUUGACCCUUUGUCUUUGUCUCAUGUCUCAUUAAGCUGUCGCUUUGUUUAAUUUCUCCAAGCCGAAGGUACCAAACAGUGAGAACUCUUAGGUUCUUUUAUGCUACUAACCCGUAGGUUCAUUUCCAGCCAACAAUGCAUGCACUACCAAACCAAUCAUCAAGUAUCUCUCUUCUUUUCGUUCCCAGCCAUUGUCUUUUGAUACUUUGUCUCUCUCUUAUGUCUCAUUAAGCUGUCGCUUUUUUUAAUUUCUCCAAGCUGAGGGUACCAAACUGUGAGAACUCGUAGGUUCUUUUAUGCUACUAACCCGUAGGUUCAUUCCCAGCCAACAAUGCAUGCACUACCAAGCCAAUCAUCAAGGAUCGCUCUUCUUUUAACUCCCAGCCAUAGUCUUUGACCCUUUGUCUUUGUCUCAUGUCUCAUUAAGCUGUCGCUUUUUUAAUUUCUCCAAGCCGAGGGUACCAAACUGUGAGAACUCUUAGGUUCUUCUAUGCUACUAACCCGUAG
This 1229-nucleotide long non-coding RNA is filed under the name Capsella rubella. Its description in RNAcentral is "long non-coding RNA (CRUB_LNC004102)". The record is from RNAcentral. Lineage: Eukaryota; Viridiplantae; Streptophyta; Magnoliopsida; Brassicales; Brassicaceae.